UCCGGGAGUAGGGGUUCAGCUGAGAAAG
Molecule: non-coding RNA, 28 nt
Filed under: Homo sapiens (human)
Lineage: Eukaryota; Metazoa; Chordata; Mammalia; Primates; Hominidae
Source: RNAcentral